GAUGAACGCUGGCGGCGUGCCUAAUACAUGCAAGUCGAGCGAACGGACGAGAAGCUUGCUUCUCUGAUGUUAGCGGCGGACGGGUGAGUAACACGUGGAUAACCUACCUAUAAGACUGGGAUAACUUCGGGAAACCGGAGCUAAUACCGGAUAAUAUUUUGAACCGCAUGGUUCAAAAGUGAAAGACGGUCUUGCUGUCGCUUAUAGAUGGAUCCGCGCUGCAUUAGCUAGUUGGUAAGGUAACGGCUUACCAAGGCAACGAUGCAUAGCCGACCUGAGAGGGUGAUCGGCCACACUGGAGCUGAGACACGGUCCAGACUCCUACGGGAGGCAGCAGUAGGGAAUCUUCCGCAAUGGGCGAAAGCCUGACGGAGCAACGCCGCGUGAGUGAUGAAGGUCUUCGGAUCGUAAAACUCUGUUAUUAGGGAAGAACAUAUGUGUAAGUAACUGUGCACAUCUUGACGGUACCUAAUCAGAAAGCCACGGCUAACUACGUG
This 497-nucleotide ribosomal RNA is filed under the name uncultured bacterium. Its description in RNAcentral is "partial 16S ribosomal RNA". It matches the Rfam family "Bacterial small subunit ribosomal RNA", at positions 28 to 507 of the family's 1533-position model. The record is from RNAcentral.